UGUUUGUUGUUGCCGAAUAAACUUAUUUUGUGACAGAAAUAUCUGGCUCUCUUUGUGUUUCAGGCCAGCAUUAUUUGGCGUCUUCUCACAUGAGGAGGAUCCAGAGCAGACCCCAGACAACUCUGAGGCUGGUGAGCAUACGAUAUGGGUUCAGUGCUCACAGAACCAACUGAACUCAGUGCUUCCUCUCUAACCCUGGAAUUUGAGGGCCAAGGUGUCUAGAAAAGUGUCAUGGCAGAAUUUCUUCUUCUCAAAUACUUCUAGAAUUUGACAGUAGCCAAUCAGAUGAAGCCUCUCGUGAGUGCAUAAUGCUGAUGAAUCACCAUCUGACCCCUUGUGAUGAUCUGCAGGAAACUCCUUUGAGUAAUGCUGACUUUUAAUAGUUCACCGAAGGUUCUUAUGUAAAAGAUGAUAAUGGCAAAUAUUGAGCUGGAUUAUGUAAUAUCAACAUUUUUGAUGUAGUUAAAACAGCACCUUUGCCUUUGGCUAUUAUGAGCCAAUAAACUGAAUUUUGUAUGUUUGCAUGGUCCUGCCCUCUAGCUAACUGCUAUCAUCUGUACUAGUAGAAGAUAUACUUUCAAAGUGGCACUUGAUUUUGGAAUGUUGGGGAAGCAACAUGGGUUUCUUACUUACAGGGGAAAUAAAAUUUAAAAUGGCCUGUUAUGUUCAGGAAUUACUGGCAACUGUACAUUUACCUGCUACUGUAGCUAUUACUAAAAUCCCAGGCAUUCUAAACAUGGCUCUCUGGAAGAUACCAGAAGUCCCCCUGCUGAUGCUUCCUUGAGGAAUGCUGCCCUUAAAGGAAUCAACUGUGUUGGACCUCUGUCAAGGCCCACUGGGAUAUUCCCCCAAAUGAUAACUUCAAAAAGCUGGCUACAGUAGCCCAAUAAUUGGCCUCGGAGAAAGAAAAAC
This is a long non-coding RNA of Phyllostomus discolor (pale spear-nosed bat), 912 nucleotides long. RefSeq lists it as uncharacterized. The transcript has 3 exons. NCBI's taxonomy places the organism in Eukaryota, Metazoa, Chordata, Mammalia, Chiroptera, Phyllostomidae. The record is from RefSeq and is a predicted model, not a curated record.